GGGGCUGCACUGGUUUCGACGUGGGUUCGGGCACGCAGCAGGGCAUGUCGAGGUUCUGUCACCUCGUUAAACCGCAGAAAAAAAGUAACUGCAAACGACGAACGUUUCGCACUCGCCGCUUAAUCCGGUGAGCCUUGCAACAGUUGGCCGAUAGGCUGGGCAAGGGGGCGUAAGCCUCCCGGCUGCAAGGGAAUUCAUAUCGGCUGGUCUUUCUCCGGGUGCCUUGGGGAGGGACGAGACCUAAGGGCACUGGUCUGAUGCGCAGCGUGUCGCUGCGCGGCGCAUCGGGCGAGACACAAAUCAGACGACUACACAUGUAGAACUGCGCGAAGAAGGCUUGCGGACGGGGGUUCGAAUCCCCCCAGCUCCACCA
RNAcentral lists this transfer-messenger RNA (373 nucleotides) under Comamonadaceae bacterium. It matches the Rfam family "transfer-messenger RNA". From Rfam's summary of the family: Bacterial tmRNA, also known as 10Sa RNA or SsrA, is named for its dual tRNA and mRNA-like properties. Its role is to liberate the mRNA from a stalled ribosome. Lineage: Bacteria; Pseudomonadati; Pseudomonadota; Betaproteobacteria; Burkholderiales; Comamonadaceae. The record is from RNAcentral. RNAcentral also lists the same sequence under 1 other name.